AUGUCUUUGUCUCAACAGCAUCAGGCGCAAUAUGACCGCUUUGGUGGUAGCUUGCCAAGAUCACACGCUGCUUCGUGGUUGACAGUGCUGGUUCUGAUGAGAAUACUUGUAAUAUUAUGGCAAUUGUCUUUUUUGAAAAAUAGUAAUGCACAUCAGAAACAAUCUAAUCACAUAUAUUCGCUAAUGAGAUAUAAUAUACCUCCUUUUGUCACCAUGUACAACAAUUCACAAUUGUUGCAUAUUAUGUUUGAUAGUAGUUUUACACACAUCUUAUUUUUGUCUGAUAUUUCUAAUUCGUACAAACCGAUGCAGAUGCACAUGUUGAGCCCACCAUGCCCAGCCUCUAGGAUUGGUUGGAGAUCCAAAUAUAUGUCUAUUCAUAUAAAAUAA
This 390-nucleotide ribosomal RNA is filed under the name Triticum aestivum (bread wheat). RNAcentral describes it as "partial small subunit ribosomal RNA". The record is from RNAcentral. Lineage: Eukaryota; Viridiplantae; Streptophyta; Magnoliopsida; Poales; Poaceae.